AAUGGGUCAGCGACUUAUAUUCUGUAGCAAGGUUAACCGAAUAGGGGAGCCGAAGGGAAACCGAGUCUUAACUGGGCGUUAAGUUGCAGGGUAUAGACCCGAAACCCGGUGAUCUAGCCAUGGGCAGGUUGAAGGUUGGGUAACACUAACUGGAGGACCGAACCGACUAAUGUUGAAAAAUUAGCGGAUGACUUGUGGCUGGGGGUGAAAGGCCAAUCAAACCGGGAGAUAGCUGGUUCUCCCCGAAAGCUAUUUAGGUAGCGCCUCGUGAAUUCAUCUCCGGGGGUAGAGCACUGUUUCGGCAAGGGGGUCAUCCCGACUUACCAACCCGAUGCAAACUGCGAAUACCGGAGAAUGUUAUCACGGGAGACACACGGCGGGUGCUAACGUCCGUCGUGAAGAGGGAAACAACCCAGACCGCCAGCUAAGGUCCCAAAGUCAUGGUUAAGUGGGAAACGAUGUGGGAAGGCCCAGACAGCCAGGAUGUUGGCUUAGAAGCAGCCAUCAUUUAAAGAAAGCGUAAUAGCUCACUGGUCGAGUCGGCCUGCGCGGAAGAUGUAACGGGGCUAAACCAUGCACCGAAGCUGCGGCAGCGACGCUUAUGCGUUGUUGGGUAGGGGAGCGUUCUGU
RNAcentral lists this ribosomal RNA (630 nucleotides) under Escherichia coli. Its description in RNAcentral is "partial 23S ribosomal RNA". It matches the Rfam family "Bacterial large subunit ribosomal RNA", at positions 614 to 1244 of the family's 2925-position model. Lineage: Bacteria; Pseudomonadati; Pseudomonadota; Gammaproteobacteria; Enterobacterales; Enterobacteriaceae. The record is from RNAcentral.